Molecule: ribosomal RNA, 437 nt
Filed under: Ruminococcus sp. KKA Seq234
Lineage: Bacteria; Bacillati; Bacillota; Clostridia; Eubacteriales; Oscillospiraceae
Description: bacterial SSU rRNA
Rfam family: Bacterial small subunit ribosomal RNA
Source: RNAcentral
UGGCGGCGUGCUUAACACAUGCAAGUCGAGCGAAGCCCUUGACGGAUUUCUUCGGAUUGAAGCCUUGGUGACUGAGCGGCGGACGGGUGAGUAACUGCGUGGGUAACCUGCCUCAUACAGGGGGAUAACAGUUGGAAACGGCUGCUAAUACCGCAUAAGCGCACAGUACCGCAUGGUACRGUGUGAAAAACUCCGGUGGUAUGAGAUGGACCCGCGUCUGAUUAGGUAGUUGGUGGGGUAACGGCCUACCAAGCCGACGAUCAGUAGCCGACCUGAGAGGGUGACCGGCCACAUUGGGACUGAGACACGGCCCAAACUCCUACGGGAGGCAGCAGUGGGGAAUAUUGCACAAUGGGGGAAACCCUGAUGCAGCGACGCCGCGUGAGCGAUGAAGUAUUUCGGUAUGUAAAGCUCUAUCAGCAGGGAAGAAAAUGACG